CAUGCAUGUCUAAGUAUAAAUAGUAUACAGUGAAACUGCGAAUGGCUCAUUAAAACAGUUAUAGUUUAUUUGAUAAUUGAAUUAUACAUGGAUAACCGUGGUAAUUCUAGAGCUAAUACAUGCAGUAAAGCCUGACUCUUUGGAAGGGCUGUAUUUAUUAGAUAUCAAACCAAUAUUCCUUCGGGUCUAUUGUGAUGAUUCAUAAUAACUGAUCGAAGCUUAGCUAGGCUAAGCUAAAUCAUUCAAGUUUCUGCCCUAUCAGCUUUCGAUGGAAGUGUAUUGGACUUCCAUGGCAGUCACGGGUAACGGGGAAUUAGGGUUCGAUUCCGGAGAGGGAGCCUGAGAAACGGCUACCACAUCUAAGGAAGGCAGCAGGCGCGUAAAUUACCCAAUCCUGACUCAGGGAGGUAGUGACAAGAAAUAACAACUCGGGGCCUCACGGCUUACGAGAUUGCAAUGAGAACAAUUUAAACCACUUAUCUAGGAACAAUUGGAGGGCAAGUCUGGUGCCAGCAGCCGCGGUAAUUCCAGCUCCAAUAGCGUAUAUUAAUGUUGUUGCAGUUAAAAAGCUCGUAGUUGAAUUUCUGGUUAAAAUAUUAGCUGGCUUUGGUCGUUAAUAUUUUAAUCAUCCGUUAGAGAACUAUAGCCGUCCUUAAUUGGUCACUAUAGAGAUCUAACAUUUUACUUUGAAAAAAUUAGAGUGUUCAAGGCAGGCAAUCGUCAUGAAUACUAUAGCAUGGAAUAAUGGAAUAGGACUUUGGUUCAUUUUAUUGGUUAUUGAACCUUAGUAAUGAUUAACAGGGACAGUUGGGGGCAUUAGUAUUUAAUUGUCAGAGGU
This 838-nucleotide ribosomal RNA is filed under the name uncultured alveolate. RNAcentral's name for it is "SSU rRNA". It matches the Rfam family "Eukaryotic small subunit ribosomal RNA", at positions 50 to 912 of the family's 1831-position model. The record is from RNAcentral.